ACGCUGGCGGCAGGCUUAACACAUGCAAGUCGAACGGUAACAGGGAUUAGCUUGCUAAUUUGCUGACGAGUGGCGGACGGGUGAGUAAUGCUUGGGAAUCCGGCUUAUGGAGGGGGAUAACUACGGGAAACUGUAGCUAAUACCGCGUAAUAUCGGAAGAUUAAAGGGUGGGACUUUCGAGCCACCUGCCAUAAGAUGAGCCCAAGUGGGAUUAGGUAGUUGGUUAGGUAAAGGCUGACCAAGCCGACGAUCUCUAGCUGGUCUGAGAGGAUGACCAGCCACACUGGAACUGAGACACGGUCCAGACUCCUACGGGAGGCAGCAGCGGGGAAUAUUGCACAAUGGGGGGAACCCUGAUGCAGCCAUGCCGUGUGAACGAAGAAGGCCUUCGGGUUGUAAAGUUCUUUCGGUGACGAGGAAGGUUGAUAGGUUAAUAGCCUAUCAAAUUGACGUUAAUCACAGAAGAAGCACCGGCUAACUCCGUGCCAGCAGCCGCGGUAAUACGGGGGGUGCGAGCGUUAAUCGGAAUAACUGGGCGUAAAGGGCACGCAGGCGGUGACUUAAGUGAGAUGUGAAAGCCCCGAGCUUAACUUGGGAAUUGCAUUUCAUACUGGGUCGCUAGAGUACUUUAGGGAGGGGUAGAAUUCCACGUGUAGCGGUGAAAUGCGUAGAGAUGUGGAGGAAUACCGAAGGCGAAGGCAGCCCCUUGGGAAUGUACUGACGCUCAUGUGCGAAAGCGUGGGGAGCAAACAGGAUUAGAUACCCUGGUAGUCCACGCUGUAAACGAUGUCGAUUUGGGGAUUGGGCUUUGAGCUUGGUGCCCGUAGCUAACGUGAUAAAUCGACCGCCUGGGGAGUACGGCCGCAAGGUUAAAACUCAAAUGAAUUGACGGGGGCCCGCACAAGCGGUGGAGC
This 914-nucleotide ribosomal RNA is filed under the name uncultured bacterium. RNAcentral's name for it is "bacterial SSU rRNA". It matches the Rfam family "Bacterial small subunit ribosomal RNA", at positions 33 to 938 of the family's 1533-position model. The record is from RNAcentral.